Erinaceus europaeus (western European hedgehog) is the source of this 292-nucleotide unclassified non-coding RNA. Its record names the gene 7SK. It matches the Rfam family "7SK RNA". Rfam says of the family: 7SK was discovered as an abundant small nuclear RNA in the mid-70s but a possible function has only recently been suggested. Two independent studies have found that 7SK RNA binds the CDK9/cyclin T complex (known as elongation factor P-TEFb). The record is from Ensembl. NCBI's taxonomy places the organism in Eukaryota, Metazoa, Chordata, Mammalia, Eulipotyphla, Erinaceidae.
GGAUGUGAGGGUGAUCUGGUGGUGACAUCUGUUACCCCAUGGAUUGCCAGGAUUGAUUUGGCUGAUCUGGCUGGCUAGGCAGCUGUUACCUUCCUUCCUCUCUCACUGCUCCAUGUUUGUCCCUCCUGAAGCUUUGCACUUGGUCAAAGAGGAUGGCCUUUCCGGAAUAGAGAAGGACUGGUCUUUGGUCGAGAUAUACAAGUAGCUGCCCUCCCCUGCUAGAACCUCCAAAUAAGCUCUCAAGAAAACUGGAGUUUGAGCAAAGUGAGAAAAAUACAAUUUAGACAACAUU